CCGUCUCAUUAUGCUGAGUCGGCGGGAAAGAUCGCCUGACAUUUGGCAGAAAAGAAAAUAUUUCAGCCGUAGAUUAGCUUCCACCGCCUUAUUUUGAUGGUCCGAUUCUUUCACUCGUAUGAAAUCCCACCUAAAAAUGGCUAUUAAUGAGAAUUCAGUUUAUGCAGUAAUUUGUGCGGAUGUAUGGAUGUAUCUGCAUCUUCUUCGACAGGGCUUCCUCGGAGGAUAAAUGGUUCAGAUGCUAACGAAGGCUUUAUGGUGGAAAUUGAAGUUUUCGUUCAAUUAUCAAUAUUUUUUAGAUUUUUACUAUUUAGACUUUGGGUUUUUUUUUCACUUUUCUUCUUCUUUGUGGUUUCCUUUAGGUUUUGGUCUGUUCAACAGAAAUAUAGUCUAGCCUUAAUUCUCUCUCGGGCCCUGAGAGUAAUGAUUUUUCGCUGAGGUCAGGCAGAUCGCGUGAUUCUACACUUGAUAGUUUUUCAAUCGGUUGGUAUGGUGAAAUUUUCAAUCGGUUGGUAUGGUGAAAUUUUCAAUCAAUUGCUAUUGACGAAAGUAAAAAGAUCAUACUUGAGAGAGGGGAGGACAUCUAGCUAGAUCGCUUCCUCUUAUUUUCGUGAUAUAAUCGUGCUGGUGCAUACCGUUUUCUUCAUUUGCAGGCUGUCUGAGUGAAAAGCUGGGACACGGAGAAAUCUUAUGAAAGUAUACUGCGAGCUAAAUUGUUUUCUUGGCCUGUAUUUAUAUGCAAAUGUCGCUUGUGCAGUUUGGUAUUGUGUAUUUUUAGAUUUUCUUUUCUCUGAAUUUUUCUGUAAAAAGGGUUUUUGUCUUUAGGAGAUCUUCCCUAACUUAGGGUUUGUGGGCUUUAUGCUAUGGAGGGGUGAGACCAGCUGCAGGAGAAGUGGUGCUUGAUUUAUCUUUAUCUUCACGAGGCGAUGAAAGACAGUUAAAACCCCGUCGAGAGAGGCCAGCCAGAAGAGUUGAGGUGAUGUUCAUCCGAAGGAGAAGACAACCAGAAUUAACAGGUUUUAAAUGCCUCGAAUCUGAGUACCACACACCUCUCGAUUUUUCUUUUUCACUACUAUGUGUUGGCCGAUUUGCAGAAAUCAUUUAUUGGAGGGUAUAAUGGUUGAUUGAAUGGAACUAAAAUUAGUUAAAUAGUUAUGUUUUACGGUGUUUAGGGGUUUCACUACAAUCAUUGGUGUGGUGCAAGAUUGGUUUUUUUCCCCUUACCUUAUCAUAAGGGUUUUAUUUCAUAGGGUUUUGAGCGAAAACAGUGAUGGCUGUGGAUUUCAUCACUCUCGGUAAUCUGUAAGUAACUUUUUAUUGGUACAAGUUCUUUAAUAUUUUAAUUAGCUCCUGCAAUUAGGUUGAGAAACGGUACAUGAUGUGAGGUAACCUAAUUGGUUUGUGUUUCUGUAUGGUGGAGGUUUGUGUACAUCUGAAUGGUCGAUGCCUACAUCUGUAGAGACCCGGGGAUCUUUGAAACCCUAACCGAUUGUAUCACAUUCAUUUUUAUAUUAUUUGCAAUUGCCUUCAAUCUAGGACGUUUUCGGCAGGUUUUUUUGAACAGUGGGAAUCAGAGGCUGCGCAGCUGAGGUGUGAUCUUCUCUAGUUAGUUUAGAUCACUGAUUUAUCACCAAGUAAAUUAAAGUUUCAGUUUACCUUGAGGUCUGAGGUCUUAACGUUUUGGAUAAUUGAGCACUGAGGUAACUUUGUGGAUAACUGUAAGUGUCUCAAGUUUCGUUUCUUUAGGUAAGAGAAUGCUCCAGGAUGGGCAUGGAUUUGGAGUCGGCUGUGGAAACAACUGUCAUUCGACAGUAGGGUGUCAAUUUCUAUUUUCUUUAUUUGAAUUGAUCUUAGUUUUCUGAGUACAAUUAUUCAAAGAGCAUUUAACGCAUAUGAUGUCGACAUAAGUUAUUAUUGCAGUGAAGUCACUGGAAUAGGCUGCAGUGUUUCGUAGCUCUCACAGCCUAACACACGGUUUGGAUUAAAGUGGUGCAAUACGCUUAAUUCUCUUGUACUUUUGGUAGUCGUUUGUUGUAAACUCUCUGUCCUUGAGGUAAUUAGUUUUUUGAGAUGAUUUUAGGCAAACUGUUCUAUUGGUGGGUGGUUACAACAUUCUAUUGGUUCAGCUGCAGUUUUUAUAAUUCUGAGCUUUUCACUGAAAGGUGGGAAAUGAGAACAAGCUGUUGAUUGUUGCAAGUAGCGAGGCUUAUGUAAUCUGUACCCCAUAUAGCGCAGUCUUAAUGGGCUCUUGUAAGUAGUCAUUUGUUCCUUGAUAUCGGAUAUUGCAAAAUUGCGAGUUUUAGGCUUUUAAACUUUUUAAAAGUCACUGGCCAAAUGUGUAUUUCUUCAUCUUCUGGUUUUUAUUCUUCUGAUGAAGAUUCAUCCUUGAUAUCAUGGUUGCUUAGCAACUGCACUUCAUACGAAACCGAAGGGAAUAUUGAGGUAAUGAUUAAUAUACUUUCUCACUUCUCUCAAAGCGGAAGAAAAUCUUAGCUUGAACGGAAGGUCAAGGAAUUGAUCUGUUUUCUUUCUCAAUUGCAGGGCGGUUUUGUAUCAUAUAGAUAGGUCGGCUGGUGGGUUUGUAAUUUUGGUCUCUUGCAUUGAACGAUGUCAACUCUUAACUUGAGAAUCCAUUUUUUUCUUUCUGGGUUAAUAGGUAUAUUUCAUGUAAGAGGGAGCUUUCCACAGUGAACAUGGAUUUGGUGUUUCCAGCUAUAAAACAAUGCAACUUAUAAUUUUUGAAGGAGGAUAAGAGCUUCUUUUGACUCCUUGAUUUGAAUUCAACUUAUUUGAUCCUACUCUUCUUAGAGUUGUCUUUGUUUAUGAAAACCAAUGCACUCUGUCUAUACAGAUGGUCAGAAGGUGGUGAAUAGGCGUUGUGCGACUCCGACCUAUGCUAUUACUGUUAAGUGACUGUUGUAAGUGCAAGAAAUUUUUAUCCACCUGCAAGAAGUAAUAAUUUGGUAAUUUAUCUUCUUUUUGAACUAUACAAAGUAGAUUUGUACAUAAGAUGUUAUGCACACUGUUUUGUGGUUUUUGUUGGAGUACUCGAUUGGUCGAGGAGGAAUCCAUUCUUAUUUUUCUGGGUUAACAGGUAUAUUACAGGGGGUAGAGAGCGCUCCACAUUCUACAUAGAUUUGGUGUUUAUAGCUAUAAAACCACGCAACUUCUAAUUUUGGCAGACGAUAAGGAUUUCUCAACUCUUAUGAUUAGUUAAAUGAACUGAUUUGAACUUAUUUUUUUGUUAGAAAAGUCUCCGUCUUUGCAAUGCAAUGUACUCUGUCUCUACACAGAUGGUGAGGUAGCCAACUAAACAUGGCGUUGAAUAGGCGAUUAUGACUCCGACAUUUUGUUACAGUGAAGUAACAGGAAAGUAGUAUGAUUUUAUCCGUUGCUAGAAGUAAUGAUGUGGUGCAACGUCUCGCUCAACGCCUAUGAACCUAUUUGUUGAAUAUUAUACAAAUUGUUUUGUGGUUUUGUUGUUGUAGUCGAUUGGACCAGGUUUCUAAAGGAAGGUCGAGGUACUUGAUAAAGGAGGAAUUCAUUUUUUUAAUUUCUGGUAUAAUAGGUAUAUUACAUGUAAGAGAGCGCUCUACAUGGCGGACAUGGAUUUGGUGUUUCAGGCAGUAAAACAAUUCAGCUCUCAAUUUUGGCAGGAGGAUAAGAAAUUCUUGAACUUCUUGAUUUGAAUUCAAUGCUGUUCCAAUGAUUAGUUAAAAGAACUUAUUUGAUCUUAGUUUUGUUAAACUUGUAAUUUUUUUUAUGCUAAGCAAUGUACUCUGUCUAUACAGAUGGUGAGUAGGCGUUGUGCGACUCCGACCUAUGACACUGUAGUACAAUUUUUAUUCCCUUGCUAGAAGUAAUAAUGGGGUGUAAUGUUCUCUUACAAUGCCUAUUUUUUCCCCCCGUACUUACUAUAGUUGUCGUCUACAGUGAUUUGUUCGAGUACUCGUUUGGUCCAGAUGUUUUAAGGAAGGUUUGGGCACUUGAUAGAGGAGACAGGGGAGUGAGAGCCUUCCACAGUGGACAUGAAUUUGGUGUUUACGGCUAUAAAACAGUGCAACUUCUAGUUUUGACUGAUUUAAUCUUAGUCUUUUGUUAGAUUUUUGUCUUUGUUUAUGCAAAACAAUGUAAACUACGCAGAUGGUGAGCAGCCAACUAAAUAUGGCGUUGAAUAGGUGUUUAUAUCAGUACGAUUUAUGUUGGUACACUGAAGUAACGGGAACAAGUGGUACAAUUUUUAUCCCGUGCUAGAAGCAGGUUUGUAGAGCGCUGCCCAGUUGACAUGUAUUCGUGUUUCUAGCAGUAAAACAUUACGACUUCUAAUUUUGGCAGGUGGAUAAGAAUUUCUUUGGCUACCUGAUUUGAAUUCAAUGCCGUUUCUAUGAUAAUUAAAAGAAUUUAAUUGACCUUAGUCUUGUUAGAGUCGUGUUUUUGUUUAGCAAUUUACUUUGUCUAUGCAGAUAGCGAGUAGGCGCUGAAUAGGCGUUGUGCGACUCCUAGCUAUGUUAUGAUAGUUAAGUAACAGUGGUACAAUUAUUAUUCCCUUGGUAGAAGUAAUAAUGGGAUCUAAUGUCUCGACGUAGAUUUAUACAUAAGAUGAGUUUAUUUUUUAGGUAUCAUGUAAACUGUUUUGAGUUUUUGUUGGAAUACUCGAUUGGUCCAGGUUUUUAAAGGUUGAGGUAACGAUCAAUCUGUUGUCUCGUUCGACUCCGAUCUUAUUCGUGCCACAGGAUUAAUUGGUACAAUAUUUAUUCUCUCGCUAGAAGUGAUAAUGGGGUAUAAUGUUCUCUUACAAUGCCUAUUUUUCCCUUGCACUUACCCGUAGUUGUCAACAGUGAACUCUACACAAGUAGAUUUGUUCAUUAGAUGUUAUGCAAAUUGAUUUGUGGUUUUGUUGGAGUACUCGAUUGGUCCAGGUUUCAGGUUUCUGAAGGAAACUUGAGGCGCUUGAUGAUGGAGGAAUCCAUUCUUAUAUUUCUGGAUUAAUAGGUUUAUUAUAGGGGAGAGAGCGCUCCACAGUGGACAUGGAUUUGGUGUUAACUGCCAUGAAACAAUGCAACUACUAAUUUUUUGGCGGAGGAUAAGAAAUUUUAAUUCCCUGAUUCGAAUUCAACGUUGUCGCUGUGAUUAGUUAAAAGGACUGAUUUGAUCUUAGUUUUGAGAUAGAAUGUUGUCUUUGUUUAUGCAAAACAAUGUUAUCUGUGUGAGCAGAUGGCGAGCAGGCAACUAAACAUGGCGUUGAUUAGGAGUUGUAUGACAACGAUCUUUGUAAUUACAGUGAAGUAACGGGGAAUAAGUGGUACAAUUUUUAUCCCUUGCUAGAAGUAGAUUUGUACGUAAGAUGAACUUAUUUGUUGAAUAUUAUACAAAUUAUUUUGUGGUUUUGUUGGAGUACUCGAUUGGUCCAGGUUUCUAAAGGAAGUUCGAUGUACUUAAAGGAGCCGUACAUUUUUUCAAUUUCUGGGAUAAUAGGUAUAUUCCAUGAGAGAGAACGCUCCAUAGUUGACAUGUAUUGGCGUUUCCAUGAGAGAGAACGCUCCACAGUGGACAUUCAUUGGUCUUUUCAGCAGUAAAACAAUUUUAACUCCUAAUUUUGGCAAGAGGAUAAAAACUUAUUUUUAACUCCCUUAUUUGAAUUUAUAAUGCCGUUUUCAUGAUAGUUAAAAGAACUUAUUUUAGUUUUGUUAGAGUUGUGUUUUUGUUUAUGCAAAGCAAUGUACUUUGUCUAUGCAGGUGGUCAGUAGGCGACUCGGAAGCUAUGUUUUUAUAGUAACAGUAAUGAGUGGUACAAUUUUUAUUCUCUUGCUAGUAGUAGUAAUGGGUUGUAAUGUCUACUGUUUUCUUUUCCCCGUACUAAUAGUUGUGUUUAAGAUGUUAUGCAAACGGUCUUGUGGUUUUGUUGGAGCACUCGAUUGGUCAAGGUUUAGGCACUUGAUAGAGGAGGAAUCCAUUCUUGUCUUUACGGCUUAAUAGGUAUAUUACAGGGGAGAGAGAGCGCUCCACAGUGGACAUGGUUUGGGGUUCACAGCUAUAAAACAAUGCAACUACCAAUUUUGGCGGAGGAUAAGAAAUUCUCAUUUCCCUUAAAUGUUCUCUCUAUGAUUACUUAAAAGAACUGAUUUGAAUUCAACCCUGUCUUUGUUUAUGCAUUACAAUGUACUCUGUCUAAACAGAUGGUGACUAGUGAACUAAACAUGGCGUUGUAUGACUCCGAGUUAUAUGUUAUUACAGUGAAGUAACAGGAAUAAGUGGUGCAAUGUGCUCUCUUACAAAGCCUAUUUUCUUUUCUUUGUAUUUAUUGUAGUCGUCUACAGUUAGAUUUGUACACGAAGAAUUUAUUUGUUAGAAGUUAUAUAAACCGUUUUGAGAUUUUGGUGUGCUAUCGAUUGGUCCAGCUUUCUGAAGGAAGGUUGAGGUGUAAUGAUCAAUCUGACGAACCUUUUUUGAUCGCUCUUCUUUGGAAGCGAAUUUAGUGGGAUGUUGUAGAAGGAAGGUUGUAAGUUGCAAUUUAAUGAGUUUUUCUUUGAGGAAUUAUGUGCGAACUGAAAAGUUGAUUUGUUAUUAAUGUUUUAAAGUCUGUUUAGUCUAUUAGUCGCUACCGUCCACGGUUAUAACUUUUGCUAGAUUUUCAUUCCCAUCGAACAAAUGGGAGAACCAACAAAUAUUUCAUUCACAUUUAUUUAUCUGAGGAGAAGAUGAAGGAGACCUCCUAGACCUCCUCAUCCAGUUCUGAAAGGGAACGGCGUUCAUUUAUGGCAUUAGAGGAUUGUUGCGUUGGAAAUAACGACAUGGUGUCGAAUAGGUGGCACGAGAUUUGGCUAUGUUUGAUCAUUAUCAGCGUAUUCUAUGGGGCUCCAAAGGAUGUUGAAAUUUAGUUGUAUUGACUCCUUAGGCUGUCAACAUGGUGUUGAAUAGGUGGCACGAGACUUGGCUAUGCUUGAUCAUUAUCAGCGUACUUUAUAUGGGGUUCCAAAGGAUGUUGAAAUUUAGUUGCAUCGACUCCCUACUUGGGUUAUCAACAUGGUGCUGAUUAGGUGGCACGAGAUUUGGCUAUGCUUGAUCAUUAUCAGCGUACAUUAUGGGGUUCUUAAGGAUUUGUGAAAUUUGAAAAAUACUGUGUGGUUUCUCUGGUUUCUUGUGAGCAUCUUUGUCAACAGCAUUCAACUUAUAUAUUGACUCCUACAUAGGUUAUUGCAGUGAUGUAAAACUAUGUUUUUCCCCGUGAACUUACGGUAGUAGAAAGUGGUCUACAGUUAAUUUUACACAACAGGUUUGUUCAAGAGGUGAUAAGCUUAUUUGUGCGACAUCGUACAGUACAAACAGCUGUAGCUUUAUCAUUUCAGCAUCGUAUUCCCGAUUUUCGCCCUGUUAUGAUGUUUGAGAUAAUUAUUAUGCUUUAGCUUUUGCAAUAUCGUUGACCGAGAACUGUGCUCUCAUUAGAGAGUUGGUUCUUUAGCUUUGGUAGUUGAAUAAAUGAUGUAGUUCGGUGUAGUACAACAUAAAUUGGAGACUUGCCCUGGGGAGUGCGACGGAGCUGGAAAAAGAAUUAAUGGGCUUCUUUAGUUGAUUGACAGAUCCAUCACCAAUUAAAUUAAAGGUAAGCUUGUCAUCAAGGUCUGAACUUUGUUCAACAAAUUAUUCUUAUACAGUCAGUAGAUAAAAUUUUUGCUAGAAGUUUCAUUUGCAUUGAACAUUCUUAUACAGUCUAGUAGAUAAAAUUAUUGCUAUUAUAAGUUCCAUUUGCAUUGAACAUUGUAUACAGUCUGGUAGAUAAAAUUAUUGCUAGAAGUCCCAUUUGCAUUGAACAGAUAACGGCAGUAUGUUGAACAGAUAACGGAAGUAGAACAUAUUUCAUUUCAUUUUGGUGGUGUGAAGUGUAAAUGAAUAAAUGGGGAUUUUGUUUUUCUAUUUUUAGGUCGGUCUGAAAAUUUGUUCAACAGAUUAUUCUGUACGGUCUAGUUGAUACAAGUAUGGCUAGAUUUUCUUCCCAUUGAACAGAUGGGUUGAAUGGCAAUAGAAAACAUUUCAUUCUGUGAAGUGUAACUUAACGGAGAAAUGAUCAUUCAUUAUCAGCCUUUUCUGGUGUGUUCUAAAGGAGUGGUGACAGUUUUCUCUACCGGUGUAUUCCCCUGACGGAAGGCAAGUUAGCACCAUAUCGGGGUUUUCUCUACCGGAGUAUCCCCCUGACGGAAGGGAAGUUAGCAACCAUAUCAGGAAAUUUUAUAUAGGUGGGAUGAUGAUACGCUUGAUUGUACCGGCGUAGUUCUGAUAGAGUUCAAUGGAUUUGUAACAAGAACUCUUGUUAAUCUCUGAAUCUUGUCUAUUUUGUGAGCAUAAUUAAUGCAAAGCUUAAAGUUAUUUUCCGACGUCAACCUAGCUUAUUAUUCUGACGUCAACCUAGCUUAUUGCAGCGAAAUAAAAAGGAUGAAGCGUAACAAUAUUUAUUCCCCAACUACGGUGAAAUUUCAAUAAAGGAUUGAAGUGGUCCAAGGUUUUGACAAUAUUUAUUCCUCAAACUACGGUGAAAUUUCAAUAAAGGAUUGAAGUGGUGCAAGGUUUCAUCCUUGACCUUGUACAUUUGGUAGUUAACUGUAGUGAACUCUAUUUUACAAAUUAUUAUAGUGGGUGACUGAAAUAUUCGAUUGAUCCAGCUGCAGUACGCCUCUGAUUCGAGCUCUCACAAGGUUUUGAGCUGGCAGCUGUGGGAGUCGCUGUUGUAGAUUGUAGGUGGCGGUGAAGCUUUUAUGAUCAAAUUUUCAUAUAGAGAAGUUCCUGUUAUCCAUAUUUUUAAAUGCAACAUAAUUAAAAUUUUGCAUGCCCCCUUUUAGUAGGGUUGUGAGUUGUAAGCUUGAGCAUUUGCGACUCUCUUGGUUUAUCAUAUAUUGAAUUUCUUAAAUAUUGGUUGAUUUUGGAA
Molecule: long non-coding RNA, 8917 nt
Organism: Cryptomeria japonica (Japanese cedar)
Lineage: Eukaryota; Viridiplantae; Streptophyta; Pinopsida; Cupressales; Cupressaceae
Exons: 2
Source: RefSeq, a predicted model, not a curated record